UAGCUAGUUGGUAGGGUAAAGGCCUACCAAGGCGACGAUCGGUAGCUGGUCUGAGAGGAUGACCAGCCACACUGGAACUGAGACACGGUCCAGACUCCUACGGGAGGCAGCAGUGGGGAAUAUUGGACAAUGGGGGCAACCCUGAUCCAGCAAUGCCGCGUGUGUGAAGAAGGCCUGAGGGUUGUAAAGCACUUUCAGUGGGGAGGAGGAUUAUUUGGUUAAGAGCUGGAUAAUUGGACGUUACCCACAGAAGAAGCACCGGCUAACUCCGUGCCAGCAGCCGCGGUAAUACGGAGGGUGCGAGCGUUAAUCGGAAUUACUGGGCGUAAAGGGUGCGUAGGUGGUUAAUUAAGUUAUCUGUGAAAUCCCCGGGCUUAACCUGGGCAGGUCAGAUAAUACUGGUUAACUCGAGUAUGGGAGAGGGUAGUGGAAUUUCCGGUGUAGCGGUGAAAUGCGUAGAGAUCGGAAGGAACACCAGUGGCGAAGGCGGCUACCUGGCCCAAUACUGACACUGGGGCACGAAAGCGUGGGGAGCAAACAGGAUUAGAUACCCUGGUAGUCCACGCUGUAAACGAUGUCAACUAGCUGUUGGUUAUAUGAAUAUAAUUAGUGGCGA
RNAcentral lists this ribosomal RNA (616 nucleotides) under uncultured Legionella sp. Its description in RNAcentral is "bacterial SSU rRNA". It matches the Rfam family "Bacterial small subunit ribosomal RNA", at positions 242 to 849 of the family's 1533-position model. The record is from RNAcentral. Lineage: Bacteria; Pseudomonadati; Pseudomonadota; Gammaproteobacteria; Legionellales; Legionellaceae.